CACAACUCCACAACAAAGAUAGGUUUCUCAUUUCCAAGAAAUAGGAUUCUAGGAAUGGUCAUGAGAUGGCCACAUAGGGACCAAAGCCAAGCAAAUCCUCAUCCUAUUUUGUUAAGUCUAUCUGAAUGAACCAUCAAGUCUAUCCAUAUAAUGCAUUCACACCAAUCCAGCCAUUUGGAGCUAUUAUUUCUUCUCCUCUGUUACUUCCUUCAACAUUUCCAUUAGAUGAAUAGAUAAGUUGGACAUUGGACAAGUAUUACACCAUGGUUGUCCCAAGAGUCUAGAAUGCUACUACCACGAAAGUGGGCGUUGUGGGAGAGAUGAGAUGAUAUAUGGGUGCCAAGUAAUAAUGUUGAAAUUCAAUUAUGUGAUAUCAGGAGCAUCUUAACAUAUUGAUGGCCCAAAAAUAUUGCAUUGUUUGUGAAUAGUAAUGGGGUUGUCCUUUUCAAAUUUCUUACGUUUCGACUGGUGUGAAAUGAUCUCAAGAAUUUUAUAAUGAUUAGGGACCAUUUUGAACUUGAAUAUUUGUAAUAUUACUCAAUUAAUUAAUCAGUGUUGCUUUCAUUUUCAUUUUA
This is a long non-coding RNA of Humulus lupulus (European hop), 575 nucleotides long. RefSeq lists it as uncharacterized. The record is from RefSeq and is a predicted model, not a curated record. NCBI's taxonomy places the organism in Eukaryota, Viridiplantae, Streptophyta, Magnoliopsida, Rosales, Cannabaceae. The transcript is spliced from 3 exons.